RNAcentral lists this ribosomal RNA (496 nucleotides) under uncultured bacterium. RNAcentral describes it as "partial 16S ribosomal RNA". It matches the Rfam family "Bacterial small subunit ribosomal RNA", at positions 28 to 507 of the family's 1533-position model. The record is from RNAcentral.
GAUGAACGCUGGCGGCGUGCCUAAUACAUGCAAGUCGAGCGAACAGACGAGGAGCUUGCUCCUCUGACGUUAGCGGCGGACGGGUGAGUAACACGUGGAUAACCUACCUAUAAGACUGGGAUAACUUCGGGAAACCGGAGCUAAUACCGGAUAAUAUAUUGAACCGCAUGGUUCAAUAGUGAAAGACGGUUUUGCUGUCACUAUAGAUGGAUCCGCGCCGCAUUAGCUAGUUGGUAAGGUAACGGCUUACCAAGGCGACGAUGCGUAGCCGACCUGAGAGGGUGAUCGGCCACACUGGAACUGAGACACGGUCCAGACGCCUACGGGAGGCAGCAGUAGGGAAUCUUCCGCAAUGGGCGAAAGCCUGACGGAGCAACGCCGCGUGAGUGAUGAAGGUCUUCGGAUCGUAAAACUCUGUUAUUAGGGAAGAACAAAUGUGUAAGUAACUAUGCACGUCUUGACGGUACCUAAUCAGAAAGCCACGGCUAACUACGUG